GUCCUUUUCUGCUGACGAGUGGCGGACGGGUGAGUAAAGUAUGGGGAUCUGCCGAAUGGAGGGGGACAACUGCUGGAAACGGCAGCUAAUACCGCAUAAAGUUGAGAGACCAAAGCGUGGGACUUUUUAGCCACGCGCCAUUUGAUGAACCCAUAUGGGAUUAGCUUGUUGGUAGGGUAAUGGCUUACCAAGGCGACGAUCUCUAGCUGGUCUGAGAGGAUGACCAGCCACACUGGAACUGAGACACGGUCCAGACUCCUAUGGGAGGCAGCAGUGGGGGAUAUUGCACAAUGGGGGAAACCCUGAUGCAGCCAUGCCGCGUGUAUGAAGAAGGCUUUCGGGUUGUAAAGUACUUUCGGUAAUGAGGAAGGUGUAUUAUCUAACAGGUAAUGCAAUUGACGUUAGUUACAGAAGAAGCACCGGCUAACUCCGUGCCAGCAGCCGCGGUAAUACGGAGGGUGCGAGCGUUAAUCGGAAUAACUGGGCGUAAAGGGCAUGCAGGCGGGUCAUUAAGUUAGGUGUGAAAUCCCCGGGCUCAACCUGGGAACUGCACUUAAAACUGGUGGUCUGGAGUAUUGUAGAGGAAGGUAGAAUUCCACGUGUAGCGGUGAAAUGCGUAGAGAUGUGGAGGAAUACCGGUGGCGAAGGCGGCCUUCUGGACAAAUACUGACGCUGAGAUGCGAAAGCGUGGGGAGCAAACAGGAUUAGAUACCCUGGUAGUCCACGCUGUAAACGAUGUCGAUUUGGAGUUUGGUGGC
RNAcentral lists this ribosomal RNA (758 nucleotides) under Serratia symbiotica. RNAcentral describes it as "bacterial SSU rRNA". It matches the Rfam family "Bacterial small subunit ribosomal RNA", at positions 77 to 831 of the family's 1533-position model. Lineage: Bacteria; Pseudomonadati; Pseudomonadota; Gammaproteobacteria; Enterobacterales; Yersiniaceae. The record is from RNAcentral.